CUUAAACUUGGUCUCAUUUUUCAUUUUGGCACUCCAACUUUGCCUUGUUCCAUUUUAACCCUUGAACUCCAUUUUUUCUGUUCCAUUUUAACACGAAUUACUAUUUUUAUGAUUUCUUUAUUUUAUAUAUAUUCUUCAAAUGCAACUUCUUAUUUUAAAUUGACACGUGUCAGUUAAUUUUAGUUAGAAAAAUUAAAAAUUAACAAAAAAUAAUUCUUUUUAAAAAAUAAUAAUUUCUUUUUAAGAGUGUUAAGUAUUUUUGUGUGAAAAAUAACCGACAAAAUUGUGUUAGUUUUCUUUCUUAAAAAUCACCGACAACCUAAUAAAGUUAGUCAAGUUUUAAC
This 344-nucleotide long non-coding RNA is filed under the name Solanum tuberosum (potato). Its description in RNAcentral is "long non-coding RNA (STUB_LNC005461)". Lineage: Eukaryota; Viridiplantae; Streptophyta; Magnoliopsida; Solanales; Solanaceae. The record is from RNAcentral.